Molecule: long non-coding RNA, 1517 nt
Organism: Culex pipiens pallens (northern house mosquito)
Lineage: Eukaryota; Metazoa; Arthropoda; Insecta; Diptera; Culicidae
Exons: 2
Source: RefSeq, a predicted model, not a curated record
UUUCACAAUUUUCGUGUACAUAAAUUGCGAAACUUUUGAGAGGUUGUUAUUUGGUUUGGUAGCAUAAUUGUUGUUGUUGAUUUUAUUACUUAUUACUAAGCGAUUUACAACAGAAUUUACCUAUUUUUACAAUCAGAUUGUUGCAGGAUUGGGUCCGUAAGUUUGUCAAUUUUGGAAUAAGAAGACAACAACUUCCUUGGAUGCUGUGCACCCUUAAUGGGUUAACUUCUAGCAGAAUGAAUAACUGCGAAUAAAAAGAAACGACCCUUCUAUUUGUAUUUUUGUAUUGUGCCUCCCACAAUUGUGGAACACCUGAGUUUGCAUUUCUUUCAAAAAUCAAAUUAUUCGCUCUACAGCAUUGACGUUCUCGAUUACGAGAUUCCUACACACAAAAAAAUAUUACGGUAAUGACAAAAGCGACAAAAGUAACUUACUUUCGAAUUAAAAAGUUGUUAAAAUUUGCUACAUUAAAGUUUUUUUUUGUUUUGAAAAUGAAAACUUUUACUGCUACAGUUUUUGAAAAUCUCAUUGCUCACUGAUUUAAAAGUUUUUCCUUUUAAUUCGACUGUAAAAUUUCUUUCAUUUUGACGUUCUCGUGUAACCGUGUACGCCUAAGUCGCAAAUGUAAACAAACACUUUGGUGGGUCCGGUGGUGCUGGUGAGUCUAGGACGCAAAGCAAGCCGACCGCGGCAGCAGCCAGGGCUCGGACGCGGAAACCUUCGGGAGCCAAACAGCAGCAGCGGAACGCCUUCGAAGGAGGGUGGUGCAGAAGCGGGACGAUGUUGAGUGCUCGAAAAGGACAAAGCCAGCUUCCUGCAGGAACUACAGCUGUUCCACGGCCGGAAUGCGAUGAGAGGUAGGAAUGUGGAUUCGCACCGGUUGUAUUCGGUGGUGGUGGCCCGGGAUUGGUGAUUGAAGGUCAAUUCCCGCGAGGACUGGGGCGAGAUCAUCGAGGAGAUAGCACUGCCGAAGCGUUGCGUGAACAACGAGAUUGCGUUGAAGAAGAUAAACUUCCGGUUUUUGGACAAGUGGAGAAUGUGUGCAGUGGCUAGCCAACUUCACUUACUUUCCAUCUCUUUUAGCAACUUCCCGCCCACAAACACUCACCUCGCGACGGCGCAGCUUCAGCCGAAUGAACCUGGACAUUGAGCCAAAAAAAAAUCUGUGUCAUUCCCGAAAUAGGAUUACGUGCUCAAAAUCGAAUUCCGUUUCGAGGUUCCAGGAUCGGGAACUCCCCGUUCAGGCUUUUUACUUUCCAGCCGGAAAACGUCGACCACCCUUCCCGAAUCAACGGCCAACUCCUCCAAGACUAUCCUGAUUGAGGCCGGAAACGUGACCAUCGUGUUACACUGCUGUCGCGCGUCGAAACCUCCAUCCGGAACCGUCCUGGGGUAUUCGGAAGUGACCGGUGGCGUACCGUAUGAAUCGGUACAGCUUGGACUCGAAUAUUGGCCUACCUUGAGCCGAAGCUAGUGGAGAAGCGUUAAAUACAAUAAAAAAAAAUGUUUUUUUUUAA